This 461-nucleotide ribosomal RNA is filed under the name Trigonopterus mesehensis. RNAcentral describes it as "SSU rRNA". It matches the Rfam family "Eukaryotic small subunit ribosomal RNA", at positions 141 to 579 of the family's 1831-position model. Lineage: Eukaryota; Metazoa; Arthropoda; Insecta; Coleoptera; Curculionidae. The record is from RNAcentral.
GGAUAACUGUGGUAAUUCUAGAGCUAAUACAUGCAAACAGAGCUCCGACCGGAGACGGAAGGAGUGCUUUUAUUAGAUCAAAACCAAUCGGUGGCGGGUUCGCGCUCGUUAUCGUACAACUUGGUGACUCUGAAUAACUUUACGCUGAUCGCACGGUCAUCGCACCGGCGACGCAUCUUUCAAAUGUCUGCCUUAUCAACUGUCGAUGGUAGGUUCUGCGCCUACCAUGGUUGUAACGGGUAACGGGGAAUCAGGGUUCGAUUCCGGAGAGGGAGCCUGAGAAACGGCUACCACAUCCAAGGAAGGCAGCAGGCGCGCAAAUUACCCACUCCCGGCACGGGGAGGUAGUGACGAAAAAUAACGAUACGGGACUCAUCCGAGGCCCCGUAAUCGGAAUGAGUACACUCUAAACCCUUUAACGAGGAUCAAUUGGAGGGCAAGUCUGGUGCCAGCAGCCGCGG